AGCGAACGCUGGCGGCGUGCCUAACACAUGCAAGUCGAGCGAGAAAGGGGUGGCAACACCCUGAGUAAAGCGGCGAACGGGUGAGUAACGCGUGGGCAAUCUACCUUCCAGUCUGGGAUAACCUUCCGAAAGGAGGGCUAAUACCGGAUGAUGUCCUGUUGGGGCAUCCUGAGGGGAGCAAAGGGGGCGACCCGCAAGGGGCGUCUCGCUGGAGGAGGAGCCUGCGUCCGAUUAGCAGUUGGUGGGGUAACGGCUCACCAAGGCGACGAUCGGUAGCCGGCCUGAGAGGGUGACCGGCC
This 299-nucleotide ribosomal RNA is filed under the name uncultured bacterium. RNAcentral's name for it is "partial 16S ribosomal RNA". It matches the Rfam family "Bacterial small subunit ribosomal RNA", at positions 30 to 309 of the family's 1533-position model. The record is from RNAcentral.